RNAcentral lists this ribosomal RNA (391 nucleotides) under uncultured bacterium. Its description in RNAcentral is "bacterial SSU rRNA". It matches the Rfam family "Bacterial small subunit ribosomal RNA", at positions 29 to 420 of the family's 1533-position model. The record is from RNAcentral.
AUUGAACGCUGGCGGCAUGCCUUACACAUGCAAGUCGAACGGCAGCACGGGAGCAAUCCUGGUGGCGAGUGGCGAACGGGUGAGUAAUAUAUCGGAACGUGCCCAGUCGUGGGGGAUAACGUAGCGAAAGCUACGCUAAUACCGCAUACGAUCUAUGGAUGAAAGCGGGGGAUCGCAAGACCUCGCGCGAUUGGAGCGGCCGAUAUCAGAUUAGGUAGUUGGUGAGGUAAAGGCUCACCAAGCCGACGAUCUGUAGCUGGUCUGAGAGGACGACCAGCCACACUGGGACUGAGACACGGCCCAGACUCCUACGGGAGGCAGCAGUGGGGGAAUUUUGGACAAUGGGCGCAAGCCUGAUCCAGCAAUGCCGCGUGCAGGAUGAAGGCCUCGG